AGUGCAUCUCAUGUCAGCUCACACACAAAAAAAUAAAAACCCUCUCUCAGUUCUUCUCUUCCAGGUCCCCUGGUACUGCUGGGUGAUGCAGCUAUAUGCAGCGUAGUUAUUUUUGAACCCUCGGCAGAUAUUUACAAGCUUCUGUGAAUAGCAAAGUUCUUGGUGCUCCAUAUGGGAAAUCUAAAUGUGUGAGGACUCAGACCGGGAACAGAAAGAGAAAUGCAGCAAGGAUGCAGAGAAGUGGGUCAAGGCCUUCCAUUGCAGUUGGGAGGCGCAAUCACCAUCUGUGGUGAGUGCUUUUACUUAUCACAUUUUACGGAGGAAUUAAGUGAGUUUGAGUGAAUUUCUCAAAAAACAAACUAGGAAUAGAAGCCAGGCAUCUUGUCUGAUUCGAAAAAAUUAAGUCAUUUCCAACAGUACAUUGGUAAGUGCAAAUUCGUUCUAAAGGGAACAUUUUCUUAAUGGUGUUUUUCAGCAUAAAUAUAGUAUCAGCCUAAGUCCUCCAGUAAACAAAUAUCAAUCAUCUUAAGUAUUUCUUGCCUGCGGAAGAGCUUUCAUUGUGAGGGUGUCACUCCCUAAAAGUCUUGUUUUAUUCUUCAUUUCUGAGGACUCCUAGACUGCUUUUGGACUAAAAUGUAUUUUUAUCUGAAGAUCUGUGAGAGCUUUGCAGCCUCUAAUUUUUCCUGCAAGAGCUGUGCCAGGCAGCAGCACAUAAGUAUAACCACCACGUGGAUGGGUAGGCUGCAGCGUAGAGACAGAUUUGCUGGAGGUUAAUACAAAGAGUUAGAAACACAGAGAGCAAGAAAUCUUGUAGUCCUUGUCUUUACUUCUGCAUGCAAAUUUCUUUUAAAUUACUGUCUCCUCUGGCAGGUUAUUUAUUAGUAAAUUACAGUUAAAAUGCUUGACUCAGAUCAAAUAGUAUAUUGGAUUUCUAGUUUUAAAAUGAACUUUACUAAUCCAGUGAUUGUUACCAGACUCAGAAAAUACUUCCUGUUAAAAUUACUCUCAAAAGUGCUUUAAAACAGAAAAGC
This 1031-nucleotide long non-coding RNA is filed under the name Apteryx rowi (Okarito brown kiwi). RNAcentral describes it as "lncRNA (ENSARWG00000010632.1)". The record is from RNAcentral. Lineage: Eukaryota; Metazoa; Chordata; Aves; Apterygiformes; Apterygidae.